AAUCCAUAGGUUAAUGAGGCGAACCGGGGGAACUGAAACAUCUAAGUACCCCGAGGAAAAGAAAUCAACCGAGAUUCCCCCAGUAGCGGCGAGCGAACGGGGAGGAGCCCAGAGCCUGAAUCAGCAUGUGUGUUAGUGGAAGCGUCUGGAAAGGCGCGCGAUACAGGGUGACAGCCCCGUACACAAAAGCGCAUGUGCUGUGAGCUCGAUGAGUAGGGCGGGACACGUGGUAUCCUGUCUGAAUAUGGGGGGACCAUCCUCCAAGGCUAAAUACUCCUGACUGACCGAUAGUGAACCAGUACCGUGAGGGAAAGGCGAAAAGAACCCCGGCGAGGGGAGUGAAAAAGAACCUGAAACCGUGUACGUACAAGCAGUGGGAGCACAGGUUUACCUGUGUGACUGCGUACCUUUUGUAUAAUGGGUCAGCGACUUAUAUUCUGUAGCAAGGUUAACCGAAUAGGGGAGCCGGAGGGAAACCGAGUCUUAAUUGGGCGUUAAGUUGCAGGGUAUAGACCCGAAACCCGGUGAUCUAGCCAUGGGCAGGUUGAAGGUUGGGUAACACUAACUGGAGGACCGAACCGACUAAUGUUGAAAAAUUAGCGGAUGACCUGUGGCUGGGGGUGAAAGGCCAAUCAAACCGGGAGAUAGCUGGUUCUCCCCGAAAGCUAUUUAGGUAGCGCCUCGUGAAUUCAUCUCCGGGGGUAGAGCACUGUUUCGGCUAGGGGGCCAUCCCGGCUUACCAACCCGAUGCAAACUGCGAAUACCGGAGAAUGUUAUCACGGGAGACACACGGCGGGUGCUAACGUCCGUCGUGAAGAGGGAAACAACCCAGACCGCCAGCUAAGGUCCCAAAGUCAUGGUUAAGUGGGAAACGAUGUGGGAAGGCCCAGACAGCCAGGAUGUUGGCUUAGAAGCAGCCAUCAUUUAAAGAAAGCGUAAUAGCUCACUGGUCGAGUCGGCCUGCGCGGAAGAUGUAACGGGGCUAAACCAUGCACCGAAGCUGCGGCAGCGAACGUAUCACUUAAAGCGAUUCA
This 1034-nucleotide ribosomal RNA is filed under the name Salmonella enterica. RNAcentral's name for it is "partial 23S ribosomal RNA". It matches the Rfam family "Bacterial large subunit ribosomal RNA", at positions 161 to 1223 of the family's 2925-position model. Lineage: Bacteria; Pseudomonadati; Pseudomonadota; Gammaproteobacteria; Enterobacterales; Enterobacteriaceae. The record is from RNAcentral.